GUUAUUCACGAUCCAGUUAUCUCGUUUCUCUCCUGCAAAUCGAAACCGAAAGAAUUCAAAAUCCUUCUUCCAGAAAUUAUUAGAUUUGCUAGAUGAAUCACGUUACAAUGGUAUUGUUGUCGUGUAUUCUGGAGUUUGGAACAACGAACAGGAUGAUCGGACAUGGGAAGUAUCCUAAACUUCUGAAUUACAGAGAACUAUACUACAGAAUUUUCUUAACUUGACAGAGUUUUGAGAUUUAAAUUGGGGUACUUGGAGUGCAUGGAUUUAUUUGAUUCUAUGAUAUGAGGAACCCAUUUUUGUGAUGAUUAAUUUGUAAAAAAUCCAAAACAAAUGAAUCAUGGUAAGUAUUCCAAGUAGAGACUCUCUACAGCUAUGCCUUUAAGAAAUUUUGGUAUCAUUUGAGAAUGUAAAUCAGUUCUAACUUGAUGUUCAGCUGUUACUUCGUUUCAAAAUUUAUGAAUACUAUCCUUGUUAUAGUGUUAUCCUGUAUGGAAUUCA
Long non-coding RNA from Papaver somniferum (opium poppy), 501 nucleotides. RefSeq lists it as uncharacterized. The record is from RefSeq and is a predicted model, not a curated record. NCBI's taxonomy places the organism in Eukaryota, Viridiplantae, Streptophyta, Magnoliopsida, Ranunculales, Papaveraceae. The transcript is spliced from 2 exons.